UAUUGCAGGAUUGUCGGAUGGGGUCCCAGACCUCAAUUAACAUACCACUCGAGGGUGUAUAUGAGUGUAUGACAACAGUAUUUCGGGGAAAAUAUAUUUGUUUUAAUUGUACAUGUUUGGAUAACAAUUUAAAUAGCAUGAUAAGUUUUUGUUUAUAUAAUAUGCCUAUAAUAGGAUGAAAGUCUCCUCAGCUGUAAUUUUUUUUAAAAAAUAGGUAGGUACAUUUAAAUACUUCCAGAGAGAUUAUAGUUUUUAUAAUUUUAAUUGAUUAACGUAUUCUUACCACGUUGCGGUUUAUUACUUUUUAGGUAGUUUUUGUUGUGUUAUGAAAAACACGACUCUCUGUAGGUAGGUAUAUAAAAGGUCAAUGCUGGGCAUAUAAUGUGUGUUUAAUUUAAAUAGAGGUUAUUUCUUCAUGAAUAAAAAUCAAAUUUGGUGUCGUUGAUUUUAAUUUUAAAUAUAAUUAUUAUAGUAUGUUAUAUAGACCCGUUUUGUGAUAUAUAGUACUAUAAACCAUAAACGAACAUCUGAUUUAAAAAUAAUAAAUUAACUUAUAGUUCAGAGAACAACAUAUUAAGUAUACUAAUAAUAAUUUAUCGACGAGUGUUAUUUAUAUACUAUGACGUGUUGAAUAACAGUGAACAUAAUUUCUGAGACAAAAUCGUUAUCGAACGCUAUAAAAAAAAAUAUUUUUUUUUUCACUUUUAAAUUCCGAUGACCUAUAUCGAUAACGCUGACAUUGUUCGAUUCGGUUGAUUAUGUUUUUAUUUAUUUUUUCAUUUCAUAUAUUAUAGCUAUAGCCAAUCAACCGUUUUUUAUGAGGCCACUUUAUUUACGUCGCCCACGUCACAAACGCGUGCAUAGAUAAACACGCCAGGUGAACAGGAGCAUAUGGUCAAUUCGUCUUGGUGGCGUUUUUGUUUUUGCCAUCGCCCGCGCCGUUGCUUCAAUUACAUUAUUAUUAUUAUUAUUAUUGUUAUUUUUUCUCCACGCUGAGCGUACGUGUGUUUGUAAAGCACCUAGAGGCAUCUAGGAAAAUCGUCGUUCCGGACCUGUUGAAACCCAUACAAUCCAACAGCUGCCCGAUGGAAUAAUGUACCCAUAAGUAUGGUCAAAAUCAUGAACUCAAAAAUUCCAUUUACGUAUAAUGUACCAUAUAUUACGAUAUUCUAUAGCUGUCUGGAAAUUCAGUAGCACCAUCCCUUUAAUCAUUCAUUAUUUGGGCAGAAGAACUACGAAGGAGGUAUACUGUUGUGACUUGAAAAGAUCAAUUUUAUUUAAGUGUUUUUAUGUUGUAUAGCAUUUUUAUUGUGAAACCAUGGGAUUUUACCGUCAAAGAUACUAUGUGUCGAAUAACAAUUUUAAUUAUUUGUAAAUUAUAUUAUAGUUGUAAAGUGUAGUGCACCUUAGCUACGACUAUGAUACCCUGAAUAUAAUUGAUAUUUGAUUACCGCUUACGUAAGUAGUGAUUUUAGUUCAAAAUUAUGACGCAGUAAAAAUAUUAAGUUAUGUUUUAUUUCUCA
Long non-coding RNA from Myzus persicae (green peach aphid), 1523 nucleotides. RefSeq lists it as uncharacterized. Lineage: Eukaryota; Metazoa; Arthropoda; Insecta; Hemiptera; Aphididae. The record is from RefSeq and is a predicted model, not a curated record. The transcript has 2 exons.